Molecule: long non-coding RNA, 896 nt
Organism: Sapajus apella (tufted capuchin)
Lineage: Eukaryota; Metazoa; Chordata; Mammalia; Primates; Cebidae
Exons: 3
Source: RefSeq, a predicted model, not a curated record
AAGAGGGAACAGAGGCAGAGAAUAACCUAACAGUUACUUGUUCAGUGUCUACUAGUUAACCAUCAGAGUAGAGAUGGGAACCCAGGCAGUUUGAUUCCAGAGCCCGCCCUCUGCUUUAUGAUAUUGCCUUUCAGGACAUUAACAGGCUAAGGUGACUGGCUGUGCAUCUGCUGGGCCCAGUGCCUCUUCUUCCUAUGGCCUGGUUCAUCCUUCUGCCCCUUCCUGCAGACUGGUUUUUUUGCUUACCCAUAACUGCCUGGUUCUCCGGACACUAAACCUUGCGUGGGGCUUUUCACCGGCUGUGGUGCUCACUGCAGCUGGAGUGGGCAAGGCUCUUCAGUGUAAAUGCCCACCGUCAAGUCUCUGUCCCAGCUCCACAUUUCCAUGAGGAAGAAUCAAGCUGCUGCAGUCUGGCCAACCCAAUAGAGUUAGAGAAUCUGGGAAUCUACCCCUCAUCUGUUCAGCAGCCGCCAGAGGAGAAGGGGCACGUGGUAUAAAAAUGUCUUUUUAACCUGAUCGCCCUUUAACCAUGGCCUUGGUAGAGGUCUGUUUUGAAUAAGGUCAGUUUGCAGGGCAAACUUCUGAACAUUUGUCUCCUCCUUCGUAGCCCUAAAAGACAACUUCACAUGUUGGUAAGCAUGUUCUAUGAAAGAUAACAAUGAUAGGCGGCCUGCUUGAUAGUAUUGGUCAAUUUUCCUGGUAUAAAUAUUCCCGCCAUGGCUGAUUUCAAGCUACCAGCGUGAUGAUGGAGUUGGGAAGCAAUGCCUCAACUGGCUUGGCUCUGAUAUGACCUGGUCCUGGCACACCAGUGCUCCUAUCCAUAUAUGCGCUAGAGGCAGGGAAGCUUCCACAGUGAGUGCAUGUCUCCAGGGAGUUUGAAACCUAGGCUUAAUGGG